UACGUAGGGUGCAAGCGUUGUUCGGAAUUAUUGGGCGUAAAGAGCUCGUAGGCGGCUCGUCGCGUCGGCUGUGAAAACCCGGGGCUCAACCCCGGGCCUGCAGUCGAUACGGGCGGGCUAGAGUCCGGUAGGGGAGACUGGAAUUCCUGGUGUAGCGGUGAAAUGCGCAGAUAUCAGGAGGAACACCGGUGGCGAAGGCGGGUCUCUGGGCCGGAACUGACGCUAAGGAGCGAAAGCGUGGGGAGCGAACAGG
RNAcentral lists this ribosomal RNA (253 nucleotides) under uncultured bacterium. Its description in RNAcentral is "partial 16S ribosomal RNA". It matches the Rfam family "Bacterial small subunit ribosomal RNA", at positions 524 to 776 of the family's 1533-position model. The record is from RNAcentral.